AUUUGAUUCAAUGGGUCAGUAUCGUGGUCUGUUGUUGAAGAACUCACUCCAAGUCUCUAUAGUAUUGUAAUGUUGUAAUGCUUCCAAUUGUAAAUCUAAGUCCAUCAUAUGUCUAAGGUUUGAAAGGAUGCAAAUGGUGCAAUGCAUUGUAAAUAUGGGGAUUUAUCUAAUGAGGACAUGAGACUCUAUUGUUGUCAAGCAUAUUUUGCUUAAUGUACACAUGUGUUUGAUGGAAUGAGAAGAAUAAUAAAGCUACAUUGUUUUUUCUCUAUCAUUUGUUUCUCAUGUGAUAUUUGGAUAUGUGUGUGUAUAAUAGUAGAAUGCUAGCUAUGAAAUCCCUGAAUGUCAACCCAGAUGGAUCUAUGAGUGUUUAUCCCUUCAUCCCCGACACAAGACCAAAUGGUCUCUAUGAUCCUCAUUGCGUCUCGAGUGAGACUUUCUUCAGCCUCAACUGAAGAUUGAUAUGUCAAUGCUUUUUGGUUUUUGUUGGUCAACUCUGAAUGAACCCUGGGUAUAAACCCCCCAACAUUAAGAAGGAUGCACGUAAGCGUGAAACGACCCAACAAAUGGUUUUGUUGCUGAGACCAAAAAUCUUGUAUUGAAUAAUGAAGCAGAAAAACGAGGUGCUAUCCAUCUCGAGAGGAAAUUCAAGACUGACUAACUACAAAGGAACAUGAGUUUUCCCUAUGAGAAACUCAAGGUUAGAGGGUGAAUGUGAAGAGAUGGAAAUACAAGUAUCUCUAAACUGAUAUGCAUGAGGCAUUCUUUCUGGAAUUUCCUUGUUUGUUGUAUGAAUGGUUGAAAAGGUAAACUGCUACCAAUUUUGCUUUGUCGCCUCUAGAACCAGUGGUUUGGGAUCAAGCCACAAUUGAUAGGCUAAAGACAUUGGACAAAAAUUUGGCUUGAGCCAUCGACUUUUGGUUUUCUCGAGAAAAAGGAAGGAUAUAUUAUUGAAUUUUAUAUGGAGUACACUGAUUCUUUCAAUUAGUCUGAGAGAAAUUUCACGGAAGGUCCUAGAAAGCGAAUGUUGGAAGAAAUCCCACUCUAGAUCAAGAUGUUAUUCAUGGAGAAAGGGAUGAUGCGCAUGGCACCCGACAAGAUGGUUGAGUAAACUCCCCUAGCACUUGGGGGGGGGGAUGAAAAUAUGAUGGAAAAGUGAGAGAGGAGAUGGAUCUGUUGAGGAGGAUCUGAAAAUUGUUGAAAUGAGGUGAAUUAUGGAACAGACUCAGAGGAGCUAAGAGAAAGAGAGAGUUGAGAGAUAAACGAGACGAAUUGAGUGGAGAAGGAAAGUGUGUGAGAGGAUUGAAAAGAAGUUGGCUAGGGGUGCGUGAUGAGGAUUCUAUCCCAGGAUGAAGAGAAAAGAGAUCGCACCAGGAGGAAGUGUGGAAGAGUGUGUUGUGUUGGAGAGGAGCACAGGUGAUGGUAGGCCCUCGAAGAGGUGUGACAUUGAGAGUAGGGUGUCUAGUGGGGAUACUGAAAGUAGUGGUGUUGGUAGCAAGAGGGGCCCCAGAGACAAAGUCUGAGCCCCUUGGUUGUUACAGAGUGCUGCAACCUUGGAGGAAGAUGAGGUGCAAAGUAGAGGCGUAGGAUAAGGAGAAGAAGAUGGAGGCUCCCCUAGUGGUAGAAUGUGAUUUCUGCUCAGUGCUUUGAAUGUCAAAGUGAAGAAAUUCAACCAAGCGUGGGUAAACAGCGGGAGUAACUAUGACUCUCUUAAGGUAGCCAAAUGCCUCGUUAUCUAAUUAGUGACGCACAUGAAUGGAUUAACGAGAUUCCCACUGUCCCUAUCUACUAUCUAGCGAAACCACAGCCAAGGGAACGGGCUUGGCAGAAUCAGUGGGGAAAGAAGACCCUAUUGAGCUUGACUCUAGUCCGACUUUGUGAAAUGACUUGAGAGGUGUAGAAUAAGUGGGAGUCGUUUUCGGCGCAAGUGAAAUACCACUACUUUUAAUGUUAUUUUACUUAUUUCGUUGGGCGGAGAUGGGGCAUUGCCCCUGUUUUUGGCCUUAAGACACGUUUCGACGGGUCGAUCUGGGCGGAAGACAUUGUCAGGUGGGGAGUUUGGCUGGGGCGACACAUCUGUUAAAAGAUAAUGCAGGUGUCCUAAGAUGAGCUCAACGAGAACAUAAAUCUCAUGUGGAACAAAAGGGUAAAAGAUCAUUUGAUUUUGAUUUUCAGUACAAAUACAAACCGUGAAAGCGUGGCCUAUCGAUCCUUUAGACUUUCAUAAUUUGAAGCUAGAGGUGUCAGAAAAGUUACCACAUGGAUAACUGGCUUGUGGCAGCCAAGCGUUCAUAGCGACGUUUCUUUUUUAUCCUUCGAUGUUGACUCUUCCUAUCAUUGUGAAGUAGAAUUCACCAAGUGUUGGAUUGUUCACCCACCAAUAGGGAUCGUGAGCUGGGUUUAGACCAUCGUGAGACAGGUUAGUUUUACCCUACUGAUGAACUGCGUCGCAAUAGUAAUUCAACUUAGUACGAGAGGAACCGUUGAUUCACACAACUGGUCAUCGCGCUUGGUUGAAAAUCCAGUGGCAUGAAGCUACCGUGUGUCGGAUUAUGACUGAACGCCUCUAAGUCAGAAUCCACGCUAGAAGCGGCGCUUGUCACUCCUUGACUGUAUCUUGACCCGCAGUAGGGGUGUCGCUUUGGCACCCCCAGGGGCCCGUGUCACUUGCGAACCUCGGUCGGGAAGCGUCUCGGUCGGGGCAGCUUUUAAGUUCAAUUUCAAACGGUCGUUGAGAAGAAUCCUUUGCAGACGACUUAAAUACGUGACGGGGUAUUGUAAGUGGCAGAGUGGCCUUGCUACCACGAUCCAUUAAGAUUCAACCCUCCAUCGCCUCGAUUCAGAGCU
Molecule: ribosomal RNA, 2847 nt
Filed under: Picea glauca (white spruce)
Lineage: Eukaryota; Viridiplantae; Streptophyta; Pinopsida; Pinales; Pinaceae
Description: eukaryotic LSU rRNA
Rfam family: Eukaryotic large subunit ribosomal RNA (bases 1555-2841)
Source: RNAcentral